GAUGAAGAACGCAGCGAAAUGCGAUAAGUAAUGUGAAUUGCAGAAUUCAGUGAAUCAUCGAAUCUUUGAACGCACCUUGCACCCUUUGGCAUUCCGAAGGGUAUGCUCGUUUGAGUGUCAUUGUACUCUCACACUCUCCGAUCCUAUGGAUUCGGGGAGCGGUGGACUUGGGUGUUGCUGCCUUUCCCUGUGGCUCACCUCAAAUGCGUCAGUGCACCUCUUGGUUGGACAUAGUACGGCGUGAUAAGUGUCUUCGCCGGCACCUCGCAAGAGGGUGGCCGAUCGGGAGCUCUGCGCUUUCAAACCGUCUUCGGACAAUUUCUGACAUCUUGACAUCAAAUCGAGUAGGACUACCCGCUGAACUUAAGCAUAUCAAUAAGCGGAGGA
This 387-nucleotide unclassified non-coding RNA is filed under the name soil metagenome. RNAcentral's name for it is "partial contains 5.8S ribosomal RNA, internal transcribed spacer 2, and large subunit ribosomal RNA". The stretch from base 1 to 120 matches the Rfam family "5.8S ribosomal RNA", at positions 35 to 154 of the family's 154-position model. The record is from RNAcentral.